RNAcentral lists this long non-coding RNA (1877 nucleotides) under Nicotiana benthamiana. RNAcentral's name for it is "long non-coding RNA (NBEN_LNC003811)". Lineage: Eukaryota; Viridiplantae; Streptophyta; Magnoliopsida; Solanales; Solanaceae. The record is from RNAcentral.
AGGCAUGGGAAUUGAGAGGCAUAGAUUCUGCUGUAUAUUUUAAUGUCAGCCAUGUUCUAUAUUUGACGUGAAGAAUCCAUUAGCUUAACUGACAAGAUUUCUGAUAACAAAUGCCAAACUGUUUUGUUUUUGUUAUAAUUGAAAAGGCUUUCUACGAUGUCAUGUGCUCUUUGACUUUGGGUGAAGUUUAUAACUAGUUUUUGUAGUCAUAAUACUUCUUUUAGCAGAAUAUUUGCAUAUUAUUUAAUAAAAAUGACAAACCAUAGCUUUGCCUUACGAUGAUUUUACUUUAUUCAGGGUUGGACUUGCAGUAAUUGUUCACUUACAACAAGUUUGACAUGAUUCUUCUUUAGUUGUAGUAAUGGCUCUUCAUACUUUGCUUCAUGCAUAUAAUUAGUUUAUCACGAUUACGAGUACGAUUUUCGUGACAUAGCUGUUGUGCUAAAUUUUAAAUUAGCUUUAAGUAUGAGUAUCCAUAGCUAUUAAAAUUAGUUGAAUAGAUUUAGGGCGUGUCGUACUAAGUAAGAUAUAGUUAUGGCCCUCCGGAGUUUAGCUCGAAUUCCUUUUAAAAUUGGAAUUGAGGCAUGCUGUGCCAAAUAAAAUCUCAAAUGCAACGCCGUCGUUUAAAUUAUUCUUGUUUAUCCUUAGAUUCUGAGGCGUGCCAUUUAGCGAAUUUCAUGGCCCUCGCAAAGUGGGAACGUGUAGUUGCUUUAGGCACGUGUUUAAUAACAUUAAUUUCCUAAAUUCGGGUGCACAUUUAUGUGACCCAAAUCCGAAUCCCAACAAAGUUGAAAUGUGUCAAAAAUCACGGGUGCAUUUAUGUGACGUGGUUGGAGGCAUGUUUUAACGAUGUUGCAAUUUUCUUUAAUAAUAAAAGUUGUUAAAAGAUUAAAAAAAUGCACAUAGGUUCAUAAUUGUAUAAAAAUCAGAUAAUUUAAGCCAAAUAUAACAGUUGAGCGACCGUGCUAGAACCACAGAACUUGAGAGUGCCUAACACCUUCUUUCGGGUUAACAAAAUUCCUUACCCGGAUUUCUGCUUCGCAGACUGUUAAACAGAGUCAUUCUUUCCUCGAUUCGGGAUUCUAAACGGUGACUUGGGACAUUAUAAAUCUCCCAAGUGGCGACUCUGAAAUUCUCUUAAAUAAUUUAAUCCCGUUUCGAUUGUCCUUUAAUUGGAAAAACUCCCUUAUCUACGCCCUACGCCGGAUCGUAGUAACAAAAAGGAGGUGUGACAAGCACAGUAUGAACUAUGGCUAGCUAAUGCAAAAUGAUAAACCUAACGAGCCAUCUGAGUGGGCCUAUAAGGACGGCCCCUGCUGUGGUAGGAUUUCCACCCAAAAGGAAGACCGCCGAAACCACCCGAAUCAUGAGGCCUUUUAUCCUCUCUCUCUCCCCAUGCUCCUGACUAUGGACCAACUCUAGCCAUCAAGUGAUGUCAACCACCUCGUCAAACCUAGCACCUGAUGUAUUCUCCCGAGUCAUAAAAAAAUGCAACUGAUAGCUAAGGCCAUCAAUUAACCUCCUAAUCCUCUCCCUCUCUAUGAGAGCCAACCAGAUCGCAUGACGAGCCAAUUCUGAAAAUCUCAUCUCGUAUUGGGUCACCUACAUUCCUUCAUAGCAUAGCUUCUCAAACUGUAUAUGCAACUCUUCCCUACGGGUUGGUGGCACAAAUUUCUCCAAGAAAAAUGGCACAGUAUCGGCUGGUCCUGCUCUGCUCAUAGGCCCUCCAACAUUUAAAUCCCGUCAGCUGAAAAGUAGUAAAUGAGGGCCCAAUAGUUUACAAAAUACCUUUAUGCGAAGAUUCCGCAGGCACCUAUCCAAGAAUUCCCGAGCAUCCUUAAACUCAGGCCCACUAAAUCUUGGAGGCUUGAACCUCC